Molecule: ribosomal RNA, 440 nt
Filed under: uncultured bacterium
Lineage: Bacteria
Description: partial 16S ribosomal RNA
Rfam family: Bacterial small subunit ribosomal RNA
Source: RNAcentral
CCUACGGGGGGCAGCAGUGGGGGAUAUUGCACAAUGGGGGAAACCCUGAUGCAGCGACGCCGCGUGUGGGAAGACGGUCCUCUGGAUUGUAAACCACUGUCCCCAGGGACGAAGAUGACGGUACCUGGGGAGGACGCUCCGGCUAACUACGUGCCAGCAGCCGCGGUAAUACGUAGGGAGCGAGCGUUGUCCGGAAUUACUGGGUGUAACGGGAGCGUAGGCGGGACUGCAAGUUGGGUGUCAAAUCUACCGGCUCAACCGGUAGCCGCACUCAAAACUGCAGUUCUUGAGUGAAGUAGAGGCAGGCGGAAUUCCUAGUGUAGCGGUGAAAUGCGUAGAUAUUAGGAGGAACACCAGUGGCGAAGGCGGCCUGCUGGGCUUUGACUGACGCUGAGGCUCGAAAGUGUGGGGAGCAAACAGGAUUAGAUACCCUAGUAGUC